GAUGAACGCUGGCGGCGUGCCUAAUACAUGCAAGUCGAGCGAACAGAUGAGGAGCUUGCUCCUCUGACGUUAGCGGCGGACGGGUGAGUAACACGUGGAUAACCUACCUAUAAGACUGGGAUAACUUCGGGAAACCGGAGCUAAUACCGGAUAAUAUAUUGAACCGCAUGGUUCAAUAGUGAAAGACGGUUUUGCUGUCACUUAUAGAUGGAUCCGCGCCGCAUUAGCUAGUUGGUAAGGUAACGGCUUACCAAGGCAACGAUGCGUAGCCGACCUGAGAGGGUGAUCGGCCACACUGGGACUGAGACGCGGUCCAGACUCCUACGGGAGGCAGCAGUAGGGAAUCUUCCGCAAUGGGCGAAAGCUUGACGGAGCAACGCCGCGUGAGUGAUGAAGGUCUUCGGAUCGUAAAACUCUGUUAUUAGGGAAGAACAAAUGUGUAAGUAACUAUGCACGUCUUGACGGUACCUAAUCAGAAAGCCACGGCUAACUACGUG
RNAcentral lists this ribosomal RNA (497 nucleotides) under uncultured bacterium. Its description in RNAcentral is "partial 16S ribosomal RNA". It matches the Rfam family "Bacterial small subunit ribosomal RNA", at positions 28 to 507 of the family's 1533-position model. The record is from RNAcentral.